RNAcentral lists this ribosomal RNA (89 nucleotides) under Bacillus halotolerans. Its description in RNAcentral is "partial 23S ribosomal RNA". It matches the Rfam family "Bacterial large subunit ribosomal RNA", at positions 2839 to 2925 of the family's 2925-position model. The record is from RNAcentral. Lineage: Bacteria; Bacillati; Bacillota; Bacilli; Caryophanales; Bacillaceae.
GAAAGAUGAUCAGGUUGAUAGGUCUGAGGUGGAAGUGUGGCGACACAUGGAGCUGACAGAUACUAAUCGAUCGAGGACUUAACCUAAUU